AUGAAUCUCUUGGCCUGGAACUGUCGAGGCUUGGGGUUGGACUCGACAGUUGGCGAACUACGGGACCUCAUACGGUCAUACAACCCAGCGGUGGUCUUUUUGUCAGAAACAUUAAAGAAGGCUGAACCGAUGAAUAAACUCAAAUGGAGCUUGGGGUUCAGGCAAGGAGUUGCAGUUAAUUGUAUAGGUAGGAGUGGAGGCUUAGCUUUGUGGUGGAGGGAUGAUGUGCAAGUUAUGGUGAGACCGUGGAGCCAAUAUUUCAUCGACGCGGAGGUGUGCUAUGAGGGCAAAACCUUUAGGUUCACUGGAAUCUAUGGGGAACCACGAACAGAACUGAGGAAGAAAACUUGGGAUGCACUGGCAUACCUAAGAAGACAAGAUAAUCUCCCCUGGCUAUGCGCGGGCGAUUUUAAUGAGGCAUUAACCCAGGCUGAACAAAGAGGAGGAAAUGCUAGGAACCUGAAACAAAUGGAGGAUUUCAAAGACUGUCUUGACAUGUGCGCACUGGCGGACAUGGGCUUCUCUGGAUACCCGUUCACGUGGGACAAUCACUACUGGAAUCAGCUAAUUUGCCAUCUGCCGGCUCUUUGCCGUCUGCUAGCUGACGAUAAAGAAGCUCUUUGCCAUCAGCUACCCAAAAGCAGACGUCAAAGAAACGGCAGACGGCAAAGAAGCUCUUUGCCAUCUGCGAGCUCUUUGCCGUCAGCCAGCAGACGGCAAAGAAUCUUUGCCGUCCGCUGGCAGACGGCAAAGAGUGAGGUGGCCCCCACCCCCGCCCGUUUGGAAAAAACUUAA
RNAcentral lists this ribosomal RNA (795 nucleotides) under Triticum aestivum (bread wheat). Its description in RNAcentral is "partial small subunit ribosomal RNA". The record is from RNAcentral. Lineage: Eukaryota; Viridiplantae; Streptophyta; Magnoliopsida; Poales; Poaceae.